Molecule: long non-coding RNA, 3505 nt
Filed under: Marmota monax (woodchuck)
Lineage: Eukaryota; Metazoa; Chordata; Mammalia; Rodentia; Sciuridae
Source: RNAcentral
UAAAACCCUCAGGUGAGACGUACCCUCUCUAUUCCCAGAGGACAGUAGCAUCUUUAUUUGUGAAGGUGAAGGGCCUCAGAGGAAAGUCUGAUCAGUGGUGCCUUGCUCAGUUUACUUCACGUUAGAUCAUUUCCUCUAUCACAUUUCUCCACAGUUGUCUAUUCUUCAUCAAACCUCUCAUAAAAGUAUCAGGUUUAACCCUUUAUCUGAGUCUCCAUUUCUUUAUGGAGGCUCCCAUUUCAUCUAAAACAUAUAUUUAAUACUUGUGAAUGUUUUUCUCUUGAUAAUCUGUCAUUUAUUAUCUUCUGUUUGAGGGAUCUCAGCCAUGAACCCAAAAUGGGUAGAGGAAAAGUUACAUUUUCCUUUCAUAUAGUAUGUUUCAGUGGACAUGUAUUUCAUUUCUCUUGAGCAUGUACCUGAGUGGCAUUUCUGUGUAUGUGUACAUUUAGCUCAGAGGACACUACCAAGCAAUUGAUCAAGGUGAUUAUUCCAGUCUCUAAUCUAUUCAAAUCUAUAUUCCAGUCUAUAUUUCAGCCAUGUAUAGAGUUCCGCUUGUUUCACUGCCCUACAAACCCUUGGUAUUUUCCAUCUACUCCAUUGUUAUUUUCCUAGUGAACUUAUGGUGGUAUCUCAAUAUGCUUUUAGUUUUAAUUUGUGUUUAUUCUCUCUCUGAUGAAUUAAGUAUCUAUUUAUUCACUUGUUUUUUAAUUUAUUUUUUGUACCAGAGAUUGAACCCAGAGGCACUUAACCAUUGAGCUUUUUAGUUUUUAAUUUUUUAUUUUGAGACAGGGUCUCACAAAGUUGCUUAGUACCUCACUAAGUUGCUGAGGCUGGCUUUGAACUUGUGAUCCUUUCUUAGAUUCUAAGUGUCUCUUAAUCCAAAUAAGGUCCAUGCUUUUUUAUUUAACCUUCCAAUUUAUUUGCUGAGAAUAUUCUUAUCUUGUGGAGUUUCAAUUCUGGAUUUUGCUGAUUGAUUCUGUAUUGAGUUGUUAUAUCCCUCUGUCUCCUUCUGUUUUACCUAAAUUGAUAUGUAGGUUUAAGACUUUUUUAGACUCAAGUGUUUGCACAGGGGACCUCAGAUAUAGGGGUGUGUAUUCUUGUAGGAUUGCAUCAGGAGCCACACUGUGUCUCUCCUGUGUAUUGAGAUUGGUUAUAGGGUUCAGGAGUGGGCAGCUUCAUCCAUCCAGUAUAUAAUUUUUCAUCUUCCUUUCAUAUCAAGGUUCCCCCUGGUCUCUGAUGAUCGUUACCUUGAUCUGAAUUUCAUUAAAUUUUGUGAAAAUAAUGAUGUUCUAAUUCUGAUUUCUUCUGCAUACAUUUUCUGGAAUCUUCUAUAAAAAAUUUUUCCCUCAUCAAAUAUUCGGUUCCACUGGGGUAUGGGAUGAAGAGGAAUGAUAGGAUGAGUUCUUUGUUUUUGUAGUAUUUCCACUUUUCAAAACAAUGAGUUGCGCAAUCAGGGAGAAUGCAAAUCAAAACUACACUGAAAUUUCAUUUCACCCCAGUCAAAAUAGCAAUGAUGAACAACAGAAAUACCGAUAAUUGUUGGUGAUAAUUUGGGGGAAAUGGUAGACUACUACAUCAUUGGUAUGGCUAUAAAUUAGUACAACAACUUUGGAAAGCAGCACAAAGAUUGAUCAAAAGAUUAGGAAUGGAAACACCAUAUGACCCAGUUAUCUAAAUUUUUUUGUUAUUUAUUCAAUAUUUAAAAUCAACAUACUGUAGUGACACAUGCAUAUCAACAUUUAUAACAGCACAAUCCACCAUAGCCAAGUUAAAGAACAGACUAGGUGCCUGCCCAUCAAUAGGCAAAUGGAUCAAGAAAAUGUGAGAUUGAUCUAUCUGUCUGUCUGUCUGUCUAUCUAUCUAUCUAUCUAUAUGUGUGUAUACACACACACACACACACAAAAUGGAGUUAUGCUCAGCCAUAAGGAAGAAUGAAAUUAUGUCAUUUAUUGAUAAAUUAUUUCAUCUCCCUGCAUUCCAGGAUCUGGUGUUUUAAAAGGGUCACAAAAGUAAUCCCCUUCAGGGUAACUGGGGUUCUUCUCAUGGAUAUUAUUUCAGGUCUGCAUUUCUUUUGCAGAUAACAAAUAGUUUGCUGAGGAAUGUGACAUAUCACUUAAACCAGGCAGGGCUGCUGGUAAAUUGCUUCUUGGAAAAAAAGCACAUGGAAGUCAGCACAUGGACCUGUUUUAUGUAAUUAUUUUCUUAACCUUGUUUUUACCACUCACAUCUUUCUGUCCCCUAUCACCAAGAGGCUUGAUGGGAGAAGGCCUUGCCUGUCGGAUCCCUGUUUCUCUUUACACUGUCAGCAAUCAUGUAAGUCAUUCUUGUUAUGCAGCAGGAGUAGGUGUGUAUUGAGGCUAGAUGUGUUUUAUCGUGGAUGUUCCUCCACUUGGAGAAAAUAUCAGGAAUGCAGUAUAAGAAUUCCUGAGAAUAAACUAUUGUAUGGUUAGAUUGACUAGGUUUUCCCCUAAUAAAUGUCUAUAUUAUUGUAGAUAUGCCUCCCUGCAAUAACUCAAAUGGCAUUUUGGUGUUCCUAGAUCAUUUAGUCCCAUGACUAUGGACAGCCUCUUGAGUUUUCUGCCACAGAUGGCUAAUUGCAUAGGAUGGUAUGUGAGUUUUGCAUGUUCCCCUCUGAAGGCUAGCUCAACUUCAAGAGCCCUAGGAGACAUCUGUCCCUGGGUUUCUAUGGACAAGUGAUACUCUCCUAAGGUCAUUUUUAAAGACAACACAAUUCCUGAUAGCAAAAUAUGCUUUAUUCCAACAACCUGGCCAGAGUGUUCCCAAACCCUCAAUCCCCACUUCUGUUAUCUAAUUAGUAUGGUUUCUCAUGUAUCUUGAAGGUUGAAGAUGUUUUGAUUUCAGAGAAAGCCCUAGGGACCGAAGGGAAAAAAAUGCUUGAAAGGCAUUUCCAGAGUAUAGGAACAACCUGCACAUUAUGGUAGCCAUAGAAACAUGAUGUCAUCAUGUUGACAGUGAUAACAUUAAACUGUUGUCUCCUUUGAAAAGGAGACAAAUUUGCUCUGGUUGGAGAGCAGGGCUGUGCCUCCAGUUUUCUGAACUUAGCAUAGGGUGUGAGUGUCCUGUGGUGGGGACUGAGCCUCACUGGGUUGUGGGGAGAGGAAGGGAUCCCAGAACUGAGUUGCUUUGUUCCUACUCUGGGGCUUGGUGUCUCCACUGACUGGAGAGGAAGAGAGAUGUGGGACCCUCCUGGCCUCAGGCAGCAUGAUGUCCUGCCCCAAGGUGUCCUGGACCUACUUUCUAUGUAAAGAAGUGCUGGAGGAUGAGACUGGGAAGGGUCUUCUGUGACCCAGCUUCUCCUCUGUAAAAUGGGGGUAGAAAUGCUCACCCAAGGGAUUACUGGUACUUUCAGUGAUAAAACACAGUGCAAGCCCAUAUCCCUGUAGUAUUGUGGGAUCAUAAAUGCCCGUAUGAAUUUAGGCCACUUCUUAUUCCUUUUCAAUUUUAUUUUUACAGGAUGAUAGACAAGAAACAGAGAAGAAACAGG